GUCGUCAUCGUAUAGUGGUU
This 20-nucleotide unclassified non-coding RNA is filed under the name Chlamydomonas reinhardtii. RNAcentral's name for it is "small RNA Cre_2018". The record is from RNAcentral. Lineage: Eukaryota; Viridiplantae; Chlorophyta; Chlorophyceae; Chlamydomonadales; Chlamydomonadaceae.